Long non-coding RNA from Sardina pilchardus (European sardine), 879 nucleotides. RefSeq lists it as uncharacterized. The transcript is spliced from 14 exons. The record is from RefSeq and is a predicted model, not a curated record. Lineage: Eukaryota; Metazoa; Chordata; Actinopteri; Clupeiformes; Clupeidae.
GUCUCGCCGGUUCUAGUGUGGAUGUAGAAAAGGGUGGUCCAAACAUAGACAGGGCAACUAUGGCAAUAAGUUUGUCCAAUGAUCUUUUGAAUGGUUAUGCCGUUAUCUUUGCAUUUAUACACGAUGUUUGGCGUGUAGGAACUUGAUGGGAGUAACGUUAACGUUUGCUCAGCCAGCUUAAACGAUAGCUCUCUGGUUAAUCUCAACACGUGGUGGUGUGGAAGCAUGUGCUAGCCUGCAACAAUUGGUGCUCGGUCCUGCUGUUGGCGCUGAAAUGGCCGAAGUUGACUGAAUUGACGACAGUUGGUGCAGGAUUGUAGCCUGAACAUCUCAUAGUUGGUGCAGGAUUGUGACCUGAACAUCUUAUUAGUUGGUGCAGGAUUGUGACCUGAAGAUCUUAUUAGUUCACUGAAUUGACAGUUGGUGCAGGAUUGUGACCUGAAGAUCUUAUUAGUUGACUGAAUUGACGACAGUUGGUGCAGGAUUGUAGCCUGAACAUCUCAUAGUUGGUGCAGGAUUGUGACCUGAACAUCUUAUUAGUUGACUGAAUUGAUGCCAGUUGGUGCAGGAUUGUAGCCUGAACAUCUCAUAGUUGACUGAAUUGACUACAGUUGGUGCAGGAUUGUGACCUGAAGAUCUUAUUAGUUGACUGAAUUGACUACAGUUGGUGCAGGAUUGUAGCCUGAACAUCUCAUAGUUGACUGAAUUGACAGUUGGUGCAGGAUUGUGACCUGAACAUCUUAUUAGUUGGACAGGGAUUUGGACCGUAACGUCUCAAAGGGAAAAGGUGCAUCCAGGUAGUUUCUGCUUUGUGGUAUUAUGGAUCAGUUUGAAUGGUUUGGAAUGUGUUUUGUUGAUGCAAUAAAUUGAUUGAUUAAA